Molecule: ribosomal RNA, 2774 nt
Filed under: Escherichia coli
Lineage: Bacteria; Pseudomonadati; Pseudomonadota; Gammaproteobacteria; Enterobacterales; Enterobacteriaceae
Description: bacterial LSU rRNA
Rfam family: Bacterial large subunit ribosomal RNA
Source: RNAcentral
AGCGUACACGGUGGAUGCCCUGGCAGUCAGAGGCGAUGAAGGACGUGCUAAUCUGCGAUAAGCGUCGGUAAGGUGAUAUGAACCGUUAUAACCGGCGAUUUCCGAAUGGGGAAACCCAGUGUGAUUCGUCACACUAUCAUUAACUGAAUCCAUAGGUUAAUGAGGCGAACCGGGGGAACUGAAACAUCUAAGUACCCCGAGGAAAAGAAAUCAACCGAGAUUCCCCCAGUAGCGGCGAGCGAACGGGGAGCAGCCCAGAGCCUGAAUCAGUGUGUGUGUUAGUGGAAGCGUCUGGAAAGGCGCGCGAUACAGGGUGACAGCCCCGUACACAAAAAUGCACAUGCUGUGAGCUCGAUGAGUAGGGCGGGACACGUGGUAUCCUGUCUGAAUAUGGGGGGACCAUCCUCCAAGGCUAAAUACUCCUGACUGACCGAUAGUGAACCAGUACCGUGAGGGAAAGGCGAAAAGAACCCCGGCGAGGGGAGUGAAAAAGAACCUGAAACCGUGUACGUACAAGCAGUGGGAGCACGCUUCGGCGUGUGACUGCGUACCUUUUGUAUAAUGGGUCAGCGACUUAUAUUCUGUAGCAAGGUUAACCGAAUAGGGGAGCCGAAGGGAAACCGAGUCUUAACUGGGCGUUAAGUUGCAGGGUAUAGACCCGAAACCCGGUGAUCUAGCCAUGGGCAGGUUGAAGGUUGGGUAACACUAACUGGAGGACCGAACCGACUAAUGUUGAAAAAUUAGCGGAUGACUUGUGGCUGGGGGUGAAAGGCCAAUCAAACCGGGAGAUAGCUGGUUCUCCCCGAAAGCUAUUUAGGUAGCGCCUCGUGAAUUCAUCUCCGGGGGUAGAGCACUGUUUCGGCAAGGGGGUCAUCCCGACUUACCAACCCGAUGCAAACUGCGAAUACCGGAGAAUGUUAUCACGGGAGACACACGGCGGGUGCUAACGUCCGUCGUGAAGAGGGAAACAACCCAGACCGCCAGCUAAGGUCCCAAAGUCAUGGUUAAGUGGGAAACGAUGUGGGAAGGCCCAGACAGCCAGGAUGUUGGCUUAGAAGCAGCCAUCAUUUAAAGAAAGCGUAAUAGCUCACUGGUCGAGUCGGCCUGCGCGGAAGAUGUAACGGGGCUAAACCAUGCACCGAAGCUGCGGCAGCGACACUAUGUGUUGUUGGGUAGGGGAGCGUUCUGUAAGCCUGUGAAGGUGGCCUGUGAGGGUUGCUGGAGGUAUCAGAAGUGCGAAUGCUGACAUAAGUAACGAUAAAGCGGGUGAAAAGCCCGCUCGCCGGAAGACCAAGGGUUCCUGUCCAACGUUAAUCGGGGCAGGGUGAGUCGACCCCUAAGGCGAGGCCGAAAGGCGUAGUCGAUGGGAAACAGGUUAAUAUUCCUGUACUUGGUGUUACUGCGAAGGGGGGACGGAGAAGGCUAUGUUGGCCGGGCGACGGUUGUCCCGGUUUAAGCGUGUAGGCUGGUUUUCCAGGCAAAUCCGGAAAAUCAAGGCUGAGGCGUGAUGACGAGGCACUACGGUGCUGAAGCAACAAAUGCCCUGCUUCCAGGAAAAGCCUCUAAGCAUCAGGUAACAUCAAAUCGUACCCCAAACCGACACAGGUGGUCAGGUAGAGAAUACCAAGGCGCUUGAGAGAACUCGGGUGAAGGAACUAGGCAAAAUGGUGCCGUAACUUCGGGAGAAGGCACGCUGAUAUGUAGGUGAAGCGACUUGCUCGUGGAGCUGAAAUCAGUCGAAGAUACCAGCUGGCUGCAACUGUUUAUUAAAAACACAGCACUGUGCAAACACGAAAGUGGACGUAUACGGUGUGACGCCUGCCCGGUGCCGGAAGGUUAAUUGAUGGGGUUAGCGGUAACGCGAAGCUCUUGAUCGAAGCCCCGGUAAACGGCGGCCGUAACUAUAACGGUCCUAAGGUAGCGAAAUUCCUUGUCGGGUAAGUUCCGACCUGCACGAAUGGCGUAAUGAUGGCCAGGCUGUCUCCAUCCGAGACUCAGUGAAAUUGAACUCGCUGUGAAGAUGCAGUGUACCCGCGGCAAGACGGAAAGACCCCGUGAACCUUUACUAUAGCUUGACACUGAACAUUGAGCCUUGAUGUGUAGGAUAGGUGGGAGGCUUUGAAGUGUGGACGCCAGUCUGCAUGGAGCCGACCUUGAAAUACCACCCUUUAAUGUUUGAUGUUCUAACGUUGGCCCCUGAUCGGGGUUGCGGACAGUGUCUGGUGGGUAGUUUGACUGGGGCGGUCUCCUCCUAAAGAGUAACGGAGGAGCACGAAGGUUGGCUAAUCCUGGUCGGACAUCAGGAGGUUAGUGCAAUGGCAUAAGCCAGCUUGACUGCGAGCGUGACGGCGCGAGCAGGUGCGAAAGCAGGUCAUAGUGAUCCGGUGGUUCUGAAUGGAAGGGCCAUCGCUCAACGGAUAAAAGGUACUCCGGGGAUAACAGGCUGAUACCGCCCAAGAGUUCAUAUCGACGGCGGUGUUUGGCACCUCGAUGUCGGCUCAUCACAUCCUGGGGCUGAAGUAGGUCCCAAGGGUAUGGCUGUUCGCCAUUUAAAGUGGUACGCGAGCUGGGUUUAGAACGUCGUGAGACAGUUCGGUCCCUAUCUGCCGUGGGCGCUGGAGAACUGAGGGGGGCUGCUCCUAGUACGAGAGGACCGGAGUGGACGCAUCACUGGUGUUCGGGUUGUCAUGCCAAUGGCACUGCCCGGUAGCUAAAUGCGGAAGAGAUAAGUGCUGAAAGCAUCUAAGCACGAAACUUGCCCCGAGAUGAGUUCU